CAGGCUUAACACAUGCAAGUCGAGGGGCAGCAUGGUCUUAGCUUGCUAAGGCCGAUGGCGACCGGCGCACGGGUGAGUAACACGUAUCCAACCUGCCGUCUACUCUUGGACAGCCUUCUGAAAGGAAGAUUAAUACAAGAUGGCAUCAUGAGUCCGCAUGUUCACAUGAUUAAAGGUAUUCCGGUAGACGAUGGGGAUGCGUUCCAUUAGAUAGUAGGCGGGGUAACGGCCCACCUAGUCUUCGAUGGAUAGGGGUUCUGAGAGGAAGGUCCCCCACAUUGGAACUGAGACACGGUCCAAACUCCUACGGGAGGCAGCAGUGAGGAAUAUUGGUCAAUGGGCGAGAGCCUGAACCAGCCAAGUAGCGUGAAGGAUGACUGCCCUAUGGGUUGUAAACUUCUUUUAUAAAGGAAUAAAGUCGGGUAUGGAUACCCGUUUGCAUGUACUUUAUGAAUAAGGAUCGGCUAACUCCGUGCCAGCAGCCGCGGUAAUACGGAGGAUCCGAGCGUUAUCCGGAUUUAUUGGGUUUAAAGGGAGCGUAGAUGGAUGUUUAAGUCAGUUGUGAAAGUUUGCGGCUCAACCGUAAAAUUGCAGUUGAUACUGGAUAUCUUGAGUGCAGUUGAGGCAGGCGGAAUUCGUGGUGUAGCGGUGAAAUGCUUAGAUAUCACGAAGAACUCCGAUUGCGAAGGCAGCCUGCUAAGCUGCAACUGACAUUGGGGCUCGAAAGUGUGGGUAUCAAACAGGAUUAGAUACCCUGGUAGUCCACACGGUAAACGAUGAAUACUCGCUGUUUGCGAUAUACUGCAAGCGGCCAAGCGAAAGCGUUAAGUAUUCCACCUGGGGAGUACGCCGGCAACGGUGAAACUCAAAGGAAUUGACGGGGGCCCGCACAAGCGGAGGAACAUGUGGUUUAAUUCGAUGAUACGCGAGGAACCUUACCCGGGCUUAAAUUGCAGAUGAAUUACGGUGAAAGCCGUAAGCCGCAAGGCAUCUGUGAAGGUGCUGCAUGGUUGUCGUCAGCUCGUGCCGUGAGGUGUCGGCUUAAGUGCCAUAACGAGCGCAACCCUUGUUGUCAGUUACUAACAGGUUCCGCUGAGGACUCUGACAAGACUGCCAUCGUAAGAUGUGAGGAAGGUGGGGAUGACGUCAAAUCAGCACGGCCCUUACGUCCGGGGCUACACACGUGUUACAAUGGGGGGUACAGAGGGCCGCUACCACGCGAGUGGAUGCCAAUCCCCAAAACCUCUCUCAGUUCGGACUGGAGUCUGCAACCCGACUCCACGAAGCUGGAUUCGCUAGUAAUCGCGCAUCAGCCACGGCGCGGUGAAUACGUUCCCGGGCCUUGUACACACCGCCCGUCAAGCCAUGGGAGCCGGGGGUACCUGAAGUGCGUAACCGCGAGGAGCGCCCUAGGGUAAAACUGGUGACUGGGG
RNAcentral lists this ribosomal RNA (1433 nucleotides) under uncultured bacterium. Its description in RNAcentral is "16S ribosomal RNA". It matches the Rfam family "Bacterial small subunit ribosomal RNA". The record is from RNAcentral.